AUGGCGGCGGCUGCAGCUACAAACGGGACCAGAGGGAGCAGCGGGAUGGAGGUGGAUGCAGCAGUAGUUUCCAGCGUGAUGCCCUCUGGAGUGACUAGGAGUGUUUCCGUCGCUCUCCAUCCCCUUGUCAUUCUCAACAUCUCUGACUACUGGAUCUGCAUGCGCUCCCAGGAGGGGCGGCCUGUGCAGGUGAUUGGGGCUUUGAUUGGCAAGCAGGAAGGCCGAAAUAUCGAGGUGAUGAACUACUUUGAGCUGCUGUCCCACACCGUGGAAGAGAAGAUUAUCAUUGACAAGGAAUAUUAUUACACCAAGGAGGAGCAGUUUAAACAGGUGUUCAAGGAGCUGGAGUUUCUGGGUUAGUAUACCACAGGGGGGCCACCUGACCCCUCGGACAUCCACGUCCAUAAGCAGGUGUGUGAGAUCAUCGAGAGCCCCCUCUUUCUGAAGCUGAACCCUAUGACCAAGCACACAGAUCUUCCUGUCAGCAUUUUUGAGUCUGCCAUCGAUAUAAUCAAGGGAGAGGCCACAAUGCUGUUUGCUGAGCUGACCUACACUCUGGCCACAGAGGAAGCGGAACGCAUUGGUGUAGACCACGUAGCCCGAAUGACAGCAACAGGCAGUGGAGAGAACUCCACUGUGGCCGAACACCUGAUAGCACAGCACAGCGCCAUCAAGAUGCUGCACAGCCGCGUCAAGCUCAUCUUGGAGUACGUCAAGGCCUCUGAAGCAGGAGAGGUCCCCUUUAAUCAUGAGAUCCUGCGGGAGGCCUAUGCUCUGUGUCACUGCCUUCCGGUGCUCAGCACAGACAAGUUCAAGACAGAUUUUUAUGAUCAAUGCAACGACGUGGGGCUCAUGGCCUACCUCGGCACCAUCACCAAAACGUGUAACACCAUGAACCAGUUUAUGAACAAGUUCAACGUCCUCUACAAUCGACAAGGCAUCGGCAGGCGAAUGCGCAGGCUCUUCUUCUGAUGAGGGUACUUGAAGGGGUGAUGGACAGGGGUCAGGCAACUGUCCCAAAGGGGAGGGCGCUACACUUCAUUGAGAGAAAUCGCUGUCAUUAAUAAUAAAGGGGAGCAGCCCCUGAGCACC
Molecule: RNA transcript, 1092 nt
Organism: Cercocebus atys (sooty mangabey)
Lineage: Eukaryota; Metazoa; Chordata; Mammalia; Primates; Cercopithecidae
Gene name: COP9 signalosome complex subunit 6 pseudogene
Exons: 1
Source: RefSeq, a predicted model, not a curated record